CAUGCCCUUGAUGUUUUAACCAC
This 23-nucleotide non-coding RNA is filed under the name Arabidopsis thaliana (thale cress). The record is from RNAcentral. Lineage: Eukaryota; Viridiplantae; Streptophyta; Magnoliopsida; Brassicales; Brassicaceae.